ACAAUUAAUCAUAUCUAACCACGAUUCAUUCUCAAAUUAAUCAUAUUAAACUUCAUUUAAUGAAUAAUCAUGAAUUAAAAGAGGGAAAUUAGGGUUACCAAAUUGUGGCUAUCAGAGUUAUUUUGAAAACAGACUUAUCUCCCUCUUCUCUCAUUCGCGGCGGCCGGUGGAUCUCCUCAACCUUCCUUCUCCGACGAGUUCCCCGUAGCGCCACCGUGCCACCGUGAAUCGUCCGGCCACGUCCUCUUCUCCUCACAUCUCUCCGUUUGUCACUCACGAUCUCUCUGCUUCGCUCACUCGAUCUCUCUUCCUCUUGUCUCAAUCAAUCCUCUCCCGAAUUCAUCUCAGUUCUGUCGGAGAAAUGCCGGCGUCUCUUCUGAUGUGACGACGAUGAAUAGAAUUUCGGAAAGCCUUGACGUGAAAUCUAGAUAGAGCCGCGGUGAUAAUGAUAUACGAAGUCGAUGAUGGCGAAGAUUGAUGAUGAAAGAUGAUGAACGUGAUGUGAUUCUGAUUGAAGAUGAUGACCGUGAUGUGAUUCUGAUUGAAGAUGAUGAACGUGAUGAUUGAAGUGAAGAAUAAGAGUGCAGAGAGUUUUGUGAAGAGUGAUGAAGAUUGAAGAGUGGAUGAUUAAAGAAGGUUAUGGUGGUGGAUGAAGGUCGAGGUGUGGUGAUGAGAAAUGGUUAUGGUUUGAGAUCGAUUUUUGGUGAUGAUGAAGCUGUGAAGAGUUUUCUGGUCGGGAUUGUAGCGUGAUUUUCAGAGAGAGGUGAGAUGAAGGUUGGUGAAGAAUGAUUGGUGAAUCCAAAGAAAUUCAGCAAGGGAAGAGAUGAAGAUUGAAAGGGUUUCAGAGAGAAUAUCCCGAAAGAAAAAAAAGUUUGUUACAAGUUCUCAGUUUCUGUUAUGUGGCUGCAGGUCGAUUUGGCUUUUUUAACAGUUUGGAACAGGUCCAGUUUUGAUAUCGGGUGCAAGGAUUAUGCAGGAGUUUUAAUUGAUGUAUGAAGGUGACGGUUUUGUGGGGGCCUGGAUAUGUGAACAAAUCUGUCAUGAAGAUUAGAAUUGGAAACCAUACACCAAAAGUAUUUUUAUGUAUUUUCUGCUGACUGAAUGAUGGGUUUGGAUGUGUAAUGGAUAGUAUAUUUUGUAAUGGGCUUUGUAUGGACUUUGGAAUGCAAUUUUGUAAAUUUCUCUUGUAAAAUAACCUUGACUCUAAUGAGUCCUUGAAUUUAACCCUUGACUUUGUGAGCAUUCAAAAUUUUUCCAAUUUUCUCUAAAGAGGGUUGCUAUUUAGACACCAAAAAUCAUACACCAUACCAUUACACCGUAUAAAAUUGAGCUUGCUAUGUAUUUGUUUGUGUCAGAACAAAGCAAAAAAUAAUGAAUAAAUAUUCAAAGAAAUUAAAACCGUAUGAUACUACGGUG
This is a long non-coding RNA of Vicia villosa (hairy vetch), 1416 nucleotides long. RefSeq lists it as uncharacterized. Lineage: Eukaryota; Viridiplantae; Streptophyta; Magnoliopsida; Fabales; Fabaceae. The record is from RefSeq and is a predicted model, not a curated record. The transcript has 4 exons.